GGGCCCGUAGCUCAGUUGGAUAGAGCGAUUGCCUCCUAAGCAGUAGGUCAUCAGUUCAAUUCUGGUCGGGCCCGCCA
RNAcentral lists this transfer RNA (77 nucleotides) under Synergistaceae bacterium. RNAcentral describes it as "tRNA-Arg". It matches the Rfam family "tRNA". Rfam says of the family: Transfer RNA (tRNA) molecules are approximately 80 nucleotides in length. Their secondary structure includes four short double-helical elements and three loops (D, anti-codon, and T loops). Lineage: Bacteria; Thermotogati; Synergistota; Synergistia; Synergistales; Synergistaceae. The record is from RNAcentral.